This 623-nucleotide ribosomal RNA is filed under the name Escherichia coli. Its description in RNAcentral is "partial 23S ribosomal RNA". It matches the Rfam family "Bacterial large subunit ribosomal RNA", at positions 567 to 1191 of the family's 2925-position model. Lineage: Bacteria; Pseudomonadati; Pseudomonadota; Gammaproteobacteria; Enterobacterales; Enterobacteriaceae. The record is from RNAcentral.
CAAGCAGUGGGAGCACGCUUAGGCGUGUGACUGCGUACCUUUUGUAUAAUGGGUCAGCGACUUAUAUUCUGUAGCAAGGUUAACCGAAUAGGGGAGCCGAAGGGAAACCGAGUCUUAACUGGGCGUUAAGUUGCAGGGUAUAGACCCGAAACCCGGUGAUCUAGCCAUGGGCAGGUUGAAGGUUGGGUAACACUAACUGGAGGACCGAACCGACUAAUGUUGAAAAAUUAGCGGAUGACUUGUGGCUGGGGGUGAAAGGCCAAUCAAACCGGGAGAUAGCUGGUUCUCCCCGAAAGCUAUUUAGGUAGCGCCUCGUGAAUUCAUCUCCGGGGGUAGAGCACUGUUUCGGCAAGGGGGUCAUCCCGACUUACCAACCCGAUGCAAACUGCGAAUACCGGAGAAUGUUAUCACGGGAGACACACGGCGGGUGCUAACGUCCGUCGUGAAGAGGGAAACAACCCAGACCGCCAGCUAAGGUCCCAAAGUCAUGGUUAAGUGGGAAACGAUGUGGGAAGGCCCAGACAGCCAGGAUGUUGGCUUAGAAGCAGCCAUCAUUUAAAGAAAGCGUAAUAGCUCACUGGUCGAGUCGGCCUGCGCGGAAGAUGUAACGGGGCUAAACCAUG